RNAcentral lists this ribosomal RNA (1053 nucleotides) under Triticum aestivum (bread wheat). Its description in RNAcentral is "partial small subunit ribosomal RNA". The record is from RNAcentral. Lineage: Eukaryota; Viridiplantae; Streptophyta; Magnoliopsida; Poales; Poaceae.
AUGACUUUCGGUGAUAUUACCUCAUUUUUUUUCACCUUCAACCUGCAGUCCACCCUUAUCCUGAGACACACCGCACCCCACCAGCGCUCCCCAAGGACGCAUCUCUCCUCCAUCCCCUUUCUUUCUCUCUCCCGACACAUCUCGCCACAGCUCCGGUGCCUCCGCCUCAAGGAGAACUACAUCGCCCCCACGAACCACGGACCCAAGCCGGCGCAUGCGUGCAUCGAUUGUACGAUGUGCGGCGCUCCGUCGAGCUCGCCUGCCCGCGUGUUGGCCGACGGAGGGGAGAGCCGACCAGAGUCCUCCGCCACUGUCCGCGCCAGUUUUCUUCCCCGAUCCAGAUCCCAGCUCCCCGCGCGCGUGACCGCCACCACGAGGAGGCCGAGGCCGACAAGGCAGGGUCUCGCCCAGCGUGUGUUCCCUUGCGGAGGAGCAGGGGUCGUGCUGGGAUGGAUAGCACCGGGGAGAAGCCCCUCCAGUGAUUUCAUGGGUUGCGGUUCGGCCGACGAGCUGGCCGACCAGGAGCAGGGGUUCGGGGACGCCCUCCGCACCGACAUGGUCAGCAUCCUCUCCGCCAUCCCCUCUCUGGAUCUCCCGCUUGCGCAGGGUCCAGGGAAGGGUCCGACCACUUUGGGUCUAUAUAUAAAGCUCUCUCUUGGUGAUGCAAGGGCACACUACCUUUCAAAUGCCAAGAAUGAACUUGGAGUUGUUUUUUCCCAAAGUAUAGCUGGUCUUUCGCUUUCUGAUAAUAUGGAGUACCUACUGCUGAUCCGGAGGCUGAGGAGGAAGAUGGAGCUGCACUUGAAGAUCCGGGGGCAAGAGGAGGAAGAAGAUGGUGCAACACUUGAUCCGAAGGCGGAGGAGGAAGAAAAUGAGGCAUCCAUCACUGGCGCGGACAAGGAGAGGGAAGCGGAGUCGUUGCCGCGAGUUCUGAAGGUGCGAGCUCGGAGGCAUAGGAUAAAUCGGAGGCGUGGAGGAGCAGCUGGCCUUGCUCGGAGAAGAGGCUCUUCAUCCGGCAGGCGAGUUGCUGGCUUGCUGCUGAGGGCAAUCUAG